AAAAAGGCCCAUGCAGAUGUACAUAGCGACCACACAUCUUUCCUAUGCACCGUAAAAACAUUCCUCUUUUCCCUUCACACUUUCACAGUCACAUGUUCCUCUUGCCCGAUCCCCUUUCUCUCUUUCAGUCUUCUCUACUCUCUCCGGUCACUCCAACAUUUCUGCCGCCGGCGCCGAAUAGCUCCCAUCAGCUUUCUUCCUUGAUUCUGUGCCUUGAGCUUGCUCGUCCUCACCUGCAGCCACCCCCACAUCUCGAUUCUCUGUUGCAGCCACAGGGUGCCCCACAGCUCGAUUCGCCGUUCCAGCCACAGUGUGACCUUCGACGGCGGUUGGUUUUUCUCCUCGUGUGCGUCCUCAGUCUCCUAGGCUGGUAAAUAGCGAUGGAGGGGUAGCAGGGCCCAAGCUGGAGCUGCGCAAGGGAGGAGGCGAGAUCAUCGAUCUGCGCGGUGUUGUUCCUGUCAGCGUUCGUGCAGGUGAUGUGGGCGUGGAUUUCGUCUCCCGCUGUCAGCUUUGAUCCAUCUUUAGUAUGAGGAUGGUGGAGACGUUUUCUGCCCCUUGAGCGCCAGACGCAUCCUACACAUCGGCGACAUUCUUCGAAGGUCCCCAUUUUCCUUUUUCUGACUUUGUCAUAUACUUUUUUUCAUAACCGGUUCCUUUGUUUGUGCGGUUGAACCAAUAUAAUGUAAUUAAGGGAAUGCUUGUUAGUGAAAAAUGUUUUCCCACUUUCCCUUGAAAUCAUGGAAAAACAUGUGAUUCUGUUUUUAAGUAUAAGGUACUGUAGAUAAUAAUUAGUGAGUGAAAAUCAAAAAGAAUGCAAGUUUAUUUCUACGCACACAUGAUAACUGAACAUGUGAGGUUCGUGGGGGCGUUGUUGUCCCCAAGCUCUGACUCGGACGCGUAGUCACUGUCCCAAAGUGAGGCAGCUCAAAAAUUUGUCUUCAUCUGCAGCAGAGGUAGCCGGGCUUGGUCAUCGAAUAUUUUUGCUCCUCUUUGUUCAGAUGUUGUUCGGAGUUCAAACUACCAAAGAUCCUCGAGUGGUGUUCUUUUUGCUCCACUUUGUUGUAAUUAAUCUCUUCAUUCAAUAGCCUGUUUCCAAGUUCAAUUAUUUCUGAAGAAAGUGGGAGCUCAAUUUUGGGGUUUACCUUGAGUUUAUUUUCGAGCUUGUCUCUAAUUCCACCAAGGCGUGUCCUUGUUUCUGUGAAUUUGUGGCAUAACAUUGGUCUUCUGACUUGGCAGUGGCAUAAUAUUAUUGUGAAUAGUUGUCCUUGGUAGUUGCCAAUCGCCCACUGAAGCCACUCUGUUGUCAUUGAGAAAUCAUAGUGCUUCGCAAGCAGAUCUGUAUGAUGUGUGGACAACUCCAUUUACUGUUCUCAUGUCUUAGAAACAUGUGAAUCCUUUCUUGAGUUUAGUAGUAUUCACAUGUACUAUUUUUUUCUGAUUGCGGGAUGGGCAUAAUAUAUCCUUCCAACUGAUCUUCAUUUCUUCCUUUUGCUUCACUUCGUGUCUUUCUUCUUCCAUACCUUUUUUGACAGGAACUCUGCAUAUGUUAAUUCUGUGGCUUCCUCACACAUCUUGUGUGUCUCCAUCUACUGUGUAAAUUUAGUGAUUCUCCCUCCUUUCCUUAUUGUCUGUUUAAUUUGUAGAAUCUGCUAAAAUGACUUGUUGCUCAUUUUCCAGGUGGAAAGUCAAUCUUUCAAUGCAGGGAUCUCUGAAGUGCAUUUCAAAUUGAAAUAUUCUCCAACACGCGUCAUCUCUUGAUCUCAUUGUUUCGUAUUAGCACAGUGGAUUGGUCAUCACCUUUAUUUAUGUAUUUAAAAAGAAAGUGGCAGGCGACGGACGACUACAAAGAUCAAUGGCGAUGCGCCUGCUGUGCUUUGGACUGAGGAGAGUACCUUGCUCUGCUGCUUCAGACCUUGGCCGGCCUUGCUCAUCCAAAUGUAAAGGAGACCAACUUUGUGCCGAAAUCUUUAAUGUUAAAGAGGAUCUUAAGUUCCAAUCAUCACGCGAAGACACAAAUAUUGAGUAUUUUUUUAGUAGCAGCCGGCUGAAGCCAUAUCUACCUGAUUAAUGAGGCUGCAGCCAUCUGCACUGAUGAUCGAUGUCAUAUGGAAAUCAUGUGGGAAUAAGCAUGCGCUCUCCAAUCUCCAUGGACUCCAGUGCCUCGUCUGCCUCCAUCUGCACCCGCCGCUGCAGCGUGGCCCCGGCGUCUUACUCUCCGCUAUUGCUGCUGCCAUGGCGUCGUAAGCAUUUGUCUGCUGCUCAACUGCAGCGUACCACCACUUGAAGCGGCUGUAAGAGUCCUAGGGCAAAAUCCAUCCCCAUGCAAGCUUCCUCCACAGGGCAUGGUGGCGGCGUGCGGAAAAAGGAGUCGAAAACCUGGGCGAGGGAUCUUUUCCUCUUAUUUUUGUGUUUGUGAAAUCGUGUGGAUCCUGAGAAAUUGCAUGGAUCUGUGUAACGUGAAUGUAAUUUUUUUUUCUAUGUACGUGUAAGCUAAAAAGGAUUUAUGUACGUGUAUAUGCCAACUCACAUGCACAUAUGGGUCAUUUUUUGACAGAAUUGAGAGAUUGUUUAGAAUUGAGAGAUUGUUUCUGAUUUGGUGCGUCGGGUAUAUGGGUCCACCCGGUUAUGAAGAUCUAACAGUUCUAGAUUGAUCAAUGGAAUUAGGCCCACUGAAUUAAA
Molecule: long non-coding RNA, 2679 nt
Organism: Triticum aestivum (bread wheat)
Lineage: Eukaryota; Viridiplantae; Streptophyta; Magnoliopsida; Poales; Poaceae
Exons: 4
Source: RefSeq, a predicted model, not a curated record